AGGGCACCACCAGGAGUGGAGCCUGCGGCUUAAUUUGACUCAACACGGGGAAACUUACCCGGCCUGGACACUGGAAGGAUUGACAGAUUGAGAGCUCUUUCUUGAUUCAGUGGGUGGUGGUGCAUGGCCGUUCUUAGUUGGUGGAGCGAUUUGUCUGGUUAAUUCCGAUAACGAACGAGACUCUAGCCUAUUAAAUAGGCUCUCGGCUUUUAAACGCCGGGAGGACUUCUUAGAGGGACAGGUGGCGGUUCAGCCGCACGAAAGAGAGCAAUAACAGGUCUGUGGUGCCCUUUGUUGUCCGGGGCCGCACGCGCGCUACACUGAAGAGAUCAGCGUGCUUUACGUUCCUGCUCCGACCGGAGUGGGGAACCCAGUGAACCUUCUUCGUGAUUGGGAUAGAAGACUGUAAUUAUUCUUCUUGAACGAGGAAUUCCCAGUAAAUGCGAGUCAUAAGCUCGCGUUGAUUACGUCCCUGCCCUUUGUACACACCGCCUGUCGCUACUACCGAUUGAACGAUUU
This 519-nucleotide ribosomal RNA is filed under the name uncultured eukaryote. Its description in RNAcentral is "SSU rRNA". It matches the Rfam family "Eukaryotic small subunit ribosomal RNA", at positions 1161 to 1699 of the family's 1831-position model. The record is from RNAcentral.